GACUGUGCAAAGGUAGCAUAAUCAGUUGGCCUAUAAUUGAGGUCUCGUAUGAAUGAAUAAUUGGGUAGCAACUGUCUUAAUAUAUUUUUACGAAUUUAGUAAGCAAGUGAAAAUACUUGCUAAUAUACAAAAGACGAGAAGACCCUAGAAACUUGCGCGUAUUUUUGUUGGGGCGACAGGAUUACAAUAAACUAAUCUUAUUUUACUAGACGUAUAGCAGAAAGAUUAAGUUACUCUAGGGAUAACAGCAUAAUUUUAAUAGUUUGUGACCUCGAUGUUGGACUAGGUACAAAACUCC
Molecule: ribosomal RNA, 298 nt
Filed under: Cornu aspersum (brown garden snail)
Lineage: Eukaryota; Metazoa; Mollusca; Gastropoda; Stylommatophora; Helicidae
Description: Helix aspersa (brown garden snail) partial 16S ribosomal RNA
Rfam family: Bacterial large subunit ribosomal RNA
Source: RNAcentral